Molecule: long non-coding RNA, 610 nt
Organism: Apis cerana (Asiatic honeybee)
Lineage: Eukaryota; Metazoa; Arthropoda; Insecta; Hymenoptera; Apidae
Source: RefSeq, a predicted model, not a curated record
GUGAUAUUCACGGGUGGGGCCCCUCAUGCGGCUUUGUCCCCCUCUACGUUAGUAUUUUACAGCAGUGGGGCAUAUUACGUAUCUCCUUCUAUACAUUCCCCAGUUACAUAUUUCUUCACUUCAUAAAUCUAUGUAACGUGCACGAAACUCGCGCGAGAUCCACACUGGACUCGCAUGAAUAGUGUCUUGGUUUCCUUGACAACAAUAGCAAAGUGGGGGAAAUGUAUCUUAUUCACAAAUAAAGUUUAGAUAACACUGAUUUAGAAUUACCAUGAACUCAUGAUAGCAUUUAAAUUUUCAUUUCUGUUCAAUGUCAAAAUAAGAAAAAUCAACUAUUUUUUAUUUUACCAUGUAUUAAGAAAGAAAUGAAAGUAUCUAUAUCUUACUUCAAAUAUAUAGUCAAUAGAUGGCAAAUUAUGAUUAUUUAUCAAGUGUUCAUGUUUCGAAGUUCAAAAGAUGUUACUGGAUUUUUAAUGAAAAUGAUAAAUUAUGAUGAAUCAAAAAGUUAUAAUUCAUGUUCAAUAAUUUCAAUGUUAUAUGAAAAAGAUAAAAUUUUAUGUAAUAAUUGUGAAUAAAAUUUAUUUUUGACUUAUUAAAUUAAAAAAAAUUA